AAUAGAGAAGUAAAAAUACAUUUAGUUUCGACCUAAAAAUUUAAGAAAAAAUUCUUCCUAUUU
This 63-nucleotide transfer RNA is filed under the name Cosmoscarta exultans. RNAcentral describes it as "tRNA-Arg". Lineage: Eukaryota; Metazoa; Arthropoda; Insecta; Hemiptera; Cercopidae. The record is from RNAcentral.